AAAAGAAAAAGAAAAUAAUAAAUAAAAGAAAGGAGACAUCUAUAUCUCCUUGUGACCAUAAUUAACAAGAAGAAUAAAUUCUAAUCCCUCCAGGUAGGCGACACCCUACAUGAAACUCCUUUUUUGUUAUAUUUCUCAACACGUAUCCAGAAUUCGGAAACAUUAUGGAAAAGAGAGGAGUGGGAGGACAAAAAAAUAAAAAGGACAAAGCCAUCAUAGACCUCUCACAAUGCAAACACUUUACUAAAAUAUUGUGAAGGAAGGAUUGGUGAUUAUGUAUUUGCGUCAACACCUCAACCUGUCUGAUGUAGGCGAUGGUAACUUGAUUUCCUACUUUCCUCCUUCCUUUCCUUCUUUCUUUUACCAACUACAAACAUAUAGAAGCACUUAUUUUUGUCUCAUCCCCUUACAAUAGUAGCUUUUUUCCUUUUCUUGUGGAGAUUUAUGAAAACUGUACCAUACUAUUCCACGAGUUCAAACGUCAAUAGUUCAGUAUGCACAACUGCAUCAAUAGUUCAGCAUUCACCAAAUGAUUUCCAAAUUCAAUGUUUCCAAAUUUUAGAAUUAUCAAUCAAACAUCGGCCAAUAAUAGCAUCUAUACAUUAUAGAGUUCAGAAUUUCCCUACUAUCAGAAAUGGAUCUAUCUAAUUUCUUAGAAAACUAAGGCUAGAGUCUGCAAAUUUUAGCCCUUUGUGCUAAAAAGCUGACAACUACUAAUUACUCGCCUACUUUUGCUUGCUCAGCUUUCUUUCCUUCAGUCUCUAAAGCUGCUAAACACAAACCAUAUCAAAAUUCCAUGCUCAAUUGCCUGUUAAUGAAAAUUUCUCUAAAAUUUAUCCAUAACCUAUUGAA
This 852-nucleotide unclassified non-coding RNA is filed under the name Hevea brasiliensis (rubber tree). The record is from RNAcentral. Lineage: Eukaryota; Viridiplantae; Streptophyta; Magnoliopsida; Malpighiales; Euphorbiaceae.